GACGUAGGGCGCGAGCGUUGUCCGGAUUUAUUGGGCGUAAAGAGCUCGUAGGCGGCUUGUCGCGUCGUCCGUGAAAACCUGCGGCUCAACUGCAGGCUGGCGGUCGAUACGGGCAGGCUGGAGUUCGGUAGGGGAGACUGGAAUUCCCGGUGUAGCAGUGAAAUGCGUAGAUAUCGGGAAGAACACCGAUGGCGAAAGCAGUCUGCUGGGCUUAUCCUGACACUGAGACACGAAAGCGUGGGGAGCGAACGGG
RNAcentral lists this ribosomal RNA (253 nucleotides) under uncultured bacterium. RNAcentral's name for it is "partial 16S ribosomal RNA". It matches the Rfam family "Bacterial small subunit ribosomal RNA", at positions 524 to 776 of the family's 1533-position model. The record is from RNAcentral.